GCUUGGAGUGUCAGCUUAAGAUGUUAGCCUGGGGUAAGUGGUUGCAUGGUUGUCACUGGCAGGAGAAACUGUACUGUGCUUCAUGAAGCCUGAGGAUGGAGAUUCAGAGGUUCUUCACUGUGGUGAUUUUCCUGGGGAAGGCUCAUGACAAGUGACCAGGUGACAAGGUUAUCAUAUUUCAAGUACGCUAUUAUGAUUUAAAAGUCCUAAAUUCGCACCCUUAGGGCCUGAACACUUCCCCCUACAAUGAUGAUGUUCAAAGACUCCUGAGAUCUACACAACCCAUAUGACCUGGAGGCAAAUGAAAUGGGAAGUAAUCUUACAGAUGGUAUAUACACCCCCAGAUGAGGGAGAGAGCAAAUUUCUUGGAAAGCUGUGUAAAUAGAUUCUUUCCACAAACUGAAUAAAGCAUAAAAGGAAUUCAUAA
Long non-coding RNA from Marmota flaviventris (yellow-bellied marmot), 427 nucleotides. RefSeq lists it as uncharacterized. The record is from RefSeq and is a predicted model, not a curated record. NCBI's taxonomy places the organism in Eukaryota, Metazoa, Chordata, Mammalia, Rodentia, Sciuridae.